Long non-coding RNA from Oncorhynchus tshawytscha (Chinook salmon), 470 nucleotides. Lineage: Eukaryota; Metazoa; Chordata; Actinopteri; Salmoniformes; Salmonidae. The record is from Ensembl.
AACACCUUGUAGAGUCAACAUGGGCCAGCAUCCCUGUGGAACGCUUUCAACUCCUUGUAGAGUCAACAUGGACCAGCAUCACCGUGGAACGCUUUCAACUCCUUGUAGAGUCAACAUGGGCCAGCAUCCCUGUGGAACGCUUUCAACUCCUUGUAGAGUUCAUGCCCUGAGAAUUUAGGCUGUUCUGAGGGCAAAAGGAGGUGCAACUCAAUAUUAGUAAGGUGUUCUUAAUGUUUUGUAUACUCAGUGUGUACUAUAAUGCAUUGUGCCUCUCAAGGGGGUGGAAACUGAGGCUAGACUGGGCCUGACUGAAGGCUGGCUGGCCUGAUGCAUUAUGACCUGAAGCUCACAGGCAUUUACAAUGCCCUCCACCAAUCCCCUGGCCUGUUACUGUUAGGUUGAAUGCCCUCCACCAAUCCCCUGGCCUGUUACUGUUAGGUUGAAUGCCCUCCACCAAUCCCCUGGCCUGU